UGAAAAGCCCGCACGCCGUAAGCCCAAGGUUUCCUGUUCAACGUUCAUCGGAGCAGGGUGAGUCGGCCCCUAAGGCGAGGCAGAGAUGCGUAGCUGAUGGGAAGCAGGUUAAUAUUCCUGCACCGUCGUUAGAUGCGAUGGGGGGACGGAUCGCGGAAGGUUGUCCGACUGUUGGAAUAGUCGGUUUUUGCAUCGAAGAAGGCUGUUAGGCAAAUCCGGCAGCGUAAUUCAAGGGUGUGAGACGAGCGAACUUGUUCGCGAAGCAAUCGGAAGUGGUUCCAAGAAAAGCCUCUAAGCUUCAGUCUAACGAGACCGUACCGCAAACCGACACAGGUGGGCGAGAUGAGUAUUCUAAGGCGCUUGAGAGAACUCGGGAGAAGGAACUCGGCAAAUUGGUACCGUAACUUCGGGAUAAGGUACGCCCAAGUAGUUUGACUGGCCUGCGCCAGAAGGACAAAAGGGUUGCAAUAAAAUGGUGGCUGCGACUGUUUAAUAAAAACACAGCACUCUGCAAACACGAAAGUGGACGUAUAGGGUGUGACGCCUGCCCGGUGCUGGAAGAUUAAAUGAUGGGGUGCAAGCUCUUGAUUGAAGUCCCAGUAAACGGCGGCCGUAACUAUAACGGUCCUAAGGUAGCGAAAUUCCUUGUCGGGUAAGUUCCGACCUGCACGAAUGGCGUAACGAUGGCCACACUGUCUCCUCCCGAGACUCAGCGAAGUUGAAAUGUUUGUGAUGAUGCAAUCUACCCGCGGCUAGACGGAAAGACCCCAUGAACCUUUACUGUAGCUUUGCAUUGGACUUUGAACCAAUCUGUGUAGGAUAGGUGGGAGGCUUUGAAGUAGGGACGCUAGUCUCUAUGGAGCCAACCUUGAAAUACCACCCUGGUUUGUUUGAGGUUCUAACCUUGGUCCGUUAUCCGGAUCGGGGACAGUGCAUGGUAGGCAGUUUGACUGGGGCGGUCUCCUCCCAAAGUGUAACGGAGGAGUUCGAAGGUACGCUAGGUACGGUCGGACAUCGUGCUAAUAGUGCAAUGGCAUAAGCGUGCUUAACUGCGAGACUGACAAGUCGAGCAGGUACGAAAGUAGGACAUAGUGAUCCGGUGGUUCUGUAUGGAAGGGCCAUCGCUCAACGGAU
RNAcentral lists this ribosomal RNA (1134 nucleotides) under marine metagenome. RNAcentral describes it as "bacterial LSU rRNA". It matches the Rfam family "Bacterial large subunit ribosomal RNA", at positions 1322 to 2457 of the family's 2925-position model. The record is from RNAcentral.